AUGGCUCAAUGGUAGAGCACCUGCCUAGCAAGCAGGAUACUAAAUUCAAAUCUCAGU
RNAcentral lists this transfer RNA (57 nucleotides) under Dipodomys ordii (Ord's kangaroo rat). It matches the Rfam family "tRNA", at positions 7 to 64 of the family's 71-position model. From Rfam's summary of the family: Transfer RNA (tRNA) molecules are approximately 80 nucleotides in length. Their secondary structure includes four short double-helical elements and three loops (D, anti-codon, and T loops). Lineage: Eukaryota; Metazoa; Chordata; Mammalia; Rodentia; Heteromyidae. The record is from Rfam by way of RNAcentral.